Molecule: long non-coding RNA, 1675 nt
Organism: Homo sapiens (human)
Lineage: Eukaryota; Metazoa; Chordata; Mammalia; Primates; Hominidae
Gene: SOX2-OT
Product: SOX2 overlapping transcript
Source: Ensembl
UGCCAAUCAAACUGCUACAAGACAACACCCUGAUCUGGCAUGGACAUCGCGGGUCCAAGCCUGUAGCCCCAAAUCGGAUAAUCUCUGCAGCUGAUAACAAGCAAAAGAGAAGCCAGGCAACAGCCAUAUUAAAGAAGAAAACAAUCAACUCUGAGCAGGAAGAAAUGUAAUGAAUUGAGUGCUGUCAGAGAUGUCUUCUGUUUGAACAAUCUGCGAUGGGCUGAAUGGCAGGGACUCCCUCAUCCAGUGCAGACACAGCCCAGGCAGACAGAAGGAAACGGAGCAUUAAUCCAACUGCAGUCACCCCAAAGUACAGGCCAUUUGGAUCCAGAAGAGAAACUGGUUCCUUCUACAAGCUCUCCCGUUCUCCCUGGGGCCCUUCACAGCCUCCUUGUCUACGUUGUGGCUGUGCUUUCCCUGAUCCAACUUAGAAAUAAUGUUUCAUUCAAGAUAAGGCUCGUGGCUUAGGAGAUUGUGACCUGGCUUGCAUCAUUCUAAGACUUCUAUCGUCUGUUUUCAAAACCCAAGGAGGACCUCCUUUUCUGUGUGAUAGUUCCUCAUGCUUUGCCAGCCACUGGGUCUUUAAGGAAGCUUGCCAAGAGUUCCCGGCUGGGAAGGACAGUUCGAGUUCAUCAUAGACAAUGAGCUGGCACCACAGUUUAAGUGACUCACCAACCUGGUUGCCCACUUCAAAAUGUCAAGAACCACACUAUCUAAUUGAAAGAACUGUGUUUUAGCAAAGUGUAAUUGGAUCGCCUGGCAAGAUCAUCUCAAACUAUGUCUCUGACCUUGCCUUUCAGUGGCUAUUUUGAGCACAAGAGGAGAAAGGAAAUGAUUCCUGAAUUAUAUCUUGUUUUUAAAAAUUAAGAUUAAUUAAUACUUGGUUUUAUGUUCAUUCCAUUGUAGGAACUUAGUGAUUAUUACAAAACAGUCAAAAUAGGUCAUAGCAAAAUGAACGUUUAAGAUUAGGUUAAAACAUUCCUCUGAAAUUUUAGUAUUCACUUUUGAAGUGUCAAUUACUAUAUUUCUGUAAUUUCUCAUUUUUUUCUUGGCUUAGAGUCAAGAUGAAAAAUGAUAUUUGAAUCAAAGACAUUGUUUUGUUAUAUAGCCACUCCUUUCUAAAAUGCAAAUCCACCCUCCCCUCACCAAUGCUUUAUUCUUUGUGCGCGCACACACACACACACACACACACACACACACACACACACACAGACAUACACAGAACCAGCACCCAAAUGGUAGAGGAGGUCCUUCCAAGACUUCUAGGACCUGGAUCAUGUAAGCAGUAGAUGAGAAAAUGAAGUAAGAGAUAUAGAGUAAUAACAAUAAAAGUCAAUGAUUUCAUUUUACAAAAAAGUCAUUGUGUAGUACUCAGAUAUUUUUAAGAGCAAGUAUUAUUAUGACUAAAGUAUAUUAUACUUCUAAAUUAUUAUGAUUCUCAUCUAAUUUCAAGCCACACAUAGGCGCCAUUUGAAAGCAUUUUGUGUUACAACCUAUCAACAAAAAUCAACUAAUAGUUUUAUAACGUGCAUAGGUUUACCCCAUGGGGAAUUAAAAUUUUUAUCUGCAAGUAUUUCUGUUGUUGUGAGACUUUAGGACAAGACAACAUUUGGUGUUAACAUAGAAGAAUAUUCUAUGGCUUUUUUAGCUUUAAAGUUCAUUACUCUAAAAUAAA